Molecule: transfer RNA, 73 nt
Filed under: Manacus vitellinus (golden-collared manakin)
Lineage: Eukaryota; Metazoa; Chordata; Aves; Passeriformes; Pipridae
Rfam family: tRNA
About the family: Transfer RNA (tRNA) molecules are approximately 80 nucleotides in length. Their secondary structure includes four short double-helical elements and three loops (D, anti-codon, and T loops). Further hydrogen bonds mediate the characteristic L-shaped molecular structure. tRNAs have two regions of fundamental functional importance: the anti-codon, which is responsible for specific mRNA codon recognition, and the 3' end, to which the tRNAs corresponding amino acid is attached (by aminoacyl-tRNA synthetases). tRNAs cope with the degeneracy of the genetic code in two manners: having more than one tRNA (with a specific anti-codon) for a particular amino acid; and 'wobble' base-pairing, i.e. permitting non-standard base-pairing at the 3rd anti-codon position.
Source: Rfam by way of RNAcentral
UCCCUGGUGGUCUAGUGGUUAGGAUGCAGCACUCUCACCGCCGCAGCCCGGGGUUCAAUUCCCGGUCAGGGAA